CUACGGGGCGCUGCAGUGAGGAAUAUUGCACAAUGGGGGGAACCCUGAUGCAGCAACGCCGCGUGGAGGAUGACGCAUUUCGGUGUGUAAACUCCUUUUAUAUGUCAAGAAAAUGACGGUAGCAUAUGAAUAAGCACCGGCUAACUCCGUGCCAGCAGCCGCGGUAAUACGGAGGGUGCAAGCGUUACUCGGAAUCACUGGGCGUAAAGGACGCGUAGGCGGGUUGGAAAGUCAGGUGUGAAAUCCUACAGCUUAACUGUAGAACUGCACUUGAAACUUCUAAUCUAGAGUAUGGGAGGGGGAGAUGGAAUUAGUGGUGUAGGGGGAAAAUCCGUAGAUAUCACUAGGAAUACCUAAAGCGAAGGCGAUCUCCUGGAACAUUACUGACGCUAAGGCGUGAAAGCGUGGGGAACAAACAGGAUUAGAUACCCUCGUAGUC
Molecule: ribosomal RNA, 439 nt
Filed under: uncultured bacterium
Lineage: Bacteria
Description: partial 16S ribosomal RNA
Rfam family: Bacterial small subunit ribosomal RNA
Source: RNAcentral